RNAcentral lists this ribosomal RNA (293 nucleotides) under Laribacter hongkongensis. RNAcentral describes it as "partial 23S ribosomal RNA". It matches the Rfam family "Bacterial large subunit ribosomal RNA", at positions 653 to 944 of the family's 2925-position model. The record is from RNAcentral. Lineage: Bacteria; Pseudomonadati; Pseudomonadota; Betaproteobacteria; Neisseriales; Aquaspirillaceae.
CCAGAUAGGGGAGGCGUAGCGAAAGCGAGUCCGAACAGGGCGUUGAGUUGCUGGGUGUAGACCCGAAACCGGAUGAUCUAUCCAUGGCCAGGAUGAAGGUGCGGUAACACGCACUGGAGGUCCGAACCCACGUCUGUUGCAAAAGACAGGGAUGAGCUGUGGAUAGGGGUGAAAGGCUAAACAAAUCCGGAAAUAGCUGGUUCUCUCCGAAAACUAUUUAGGUAGUGCCUCGAGAUUACACUGACGGGGGUAGAGCACUGUUAUGGCUAGGGGGUCAUUGCGAUUUACCAACC